AAAAACGUAAUUAAGAGAUUUUAAGAUAGUUUUUCAAUUACUAAACAAGUUCUAGAACUUGGUCUAGCUCGGAAGACGAAAUAACAACCAUCCUA
RNAcentral lists this small RNA (95 nucleotides) under Arabidopsis thaliana (thale cress). Its description in RNAcentral is "ATSL153190". The record is from RNAcentral. Lineage: Eukaryota; Viridiplantae; Streptophyta; Magnoliopsida; Brassicales; Brassicaceae.